UGCGUUCCUUGUCUUGAUUUAAUUCAUUUCAAAUGAUAAUAUAUUUCAAAAUUCUUAGUAGUUCUAAAUGUACAUUACUGAUAAGUGUAGUUCACGAAUUGCGAGUAUCUCUAUGUGAUUAUUGAAGAACAGCUAGAAAUUUCAUUCGCCUCGCUACACACACAUUGUUCCAGAAGGCAGAUACCAUUUUUAUUUUCCCAUUGGGUGUGGUAUCGGUGUGUCCGAUUCGAUCCGACAUUGCGUCAUGCGGUUGACACCUUUUUACAACGAAUGAUCGAGCUUUUCCACCCCGUCACGGUCGAGCAGAUCAUUGAAUCAGCCCCGCCCUUACCCCCGAUAAGUUCACCGACCCACGUGUUCGCGUAUGGUACCUAUAAAAGCUCACUUAGCAUCAGCUUGUACGGCAAUGUUCCCCCGUGAUGCCUGAUGGAAAGUCGUUGCUCGGAAUCUCGGUAGCCACUGUCUUCUGAUCUCGAACGUAUCAUGGCUGUCGAUCGAAGGAAAGAAACAGAAUCGUCCUCGAGUCAUUCUUGAAUCGUAGUUACGUUUUUCAAACCGGGAAUUUUUUCGUCAUGGAUGGAAGACGAAUGCAGACGAUGGCCAACCGAAUACGACGUUGCUCUAGGCGAUUCACGGGUCAUCGACGUACCAGAAGACCGUCGAAGGAUCCAUCGAUCGAGCUUCCUUGAUACCCGGCAACUCGUCAGACGUUAACGAUCCAACCAGAACCGAUAUCUACCUCGUUAUCGACCACACCUCUCGUCAUUCUUGCCUGCGGUCCGCGAGCAACGCGAAAACAGUCGGACAACCUUCUUGCUUUAUAUCCGGCAGAGAUAGAUCCCGUAGAAUGCCAACGGUAGCGAACUAUCUGUCCGCUCGUAACUCGGAUCGCAAUUGAUUUAUCGCGAUCAAUCGAUCACUAUUGUUAGUCAAACCAUGGGUUAAUCAAUUUGACGGGAAUAAUUUUGGCUGUUUAAUUAAAAUUUGAAAUUGUAAUAAUGACUUAUUAAAAUUGACUGAAUUGCAAAA
Non-coding RNA from Osmia lignaria (orchard mason bee), 1029 nucleotides. The record is from RefSeq and is a predicted model, not a curated record. NCBI's taxonomy places the organism in Eukaryota, Metazoa, Arthropoda, Insecta, Hymenoptera, Megachilidae.